Non-coding RNA from Podarcis lilfordi (Lilford's wall lizard), 73 nucleotides. The record is from the annotation of a GenBank genome assembly. NCBI's taxonomy places the organism in Eukaryota, Metazoa, Chordata, Lepidosauria, Squamata, Lacertidae.
GGCUGUGGCUCAGUGGAAGAGCAUCUGCUUGAGAGGCAGAAGGUUGCAGGUGGUCCCAUCCCUGCCAUUGCCA